GCCGGGCAUUGUGGUGGGAGCCUGUAGUCCUAGCUACUUGGAGGCUGAGGCAAGAGAAUCGCUUGGGCCCAAGAGUUUGAGAUUGCUGUGAGCUGUGACGCCACAGCACUCUACCAAGGGUGACACAGUGAAACUCUGUCUCAAAAAAAUAAAUAAAAAGACUUUUUUUUUUUUUUUUGAGACAGUUUCACUAUGUCACUCUCAGUAGAGUUGCCAGGGCAUCACAGCUCACAGCAACCUCAAACUCUUGAGCUUUAGCGAUUCUCUUGCCUCAA
This is a non-coding RNA of Otolemur garnettii (small-eared galago), 275 nucleotides long. The record is from Rfam. Lineage: Eukaryota; Metazoa; Chordata; Mammalia; Primates; Galagidae.